RNAcentral lists this ribosomal RNA (253 nucleotides) under uncultured bacterium. RNAcentral's name for it is "partial 16S ribosomal RNA". It matches the Rfam family "Bacterial small subunit ribosomal RNA", at positions 524 to 776 of the family's 1533-position model. The record is from RNAcentral.
UACAGAGGGGGCAAGCGUUAUUCGGAAUUAUUGGGCGUAAAGGGCGCGUAGGCGGCCUGGCAAGUGGAAGGUGCAAUCCCUCGGCCCAACCGAGGAACUGCGCCCGAGACUGCUUCUCUUGAGUCCCGGAGAGGAAGAUGGAAUUCCCGGUGUAGCGGUGAAAUGUGUAGAGAUCGGGAGGAACACCGGUGGCGAAGGCGGUCUUCUGGACGGUGACUGACGCUGAGGCGCGAAAGCGUGGGGAGCAAACGGG